This 467-nucleotide ribosomal RNA is filed under the name uncultured bacterium. Its description in RNAcentral is "bacterial SSU rRNA". It matches the Rfam family "Bacterial small subunit ribosomal RNA", at positions 329 to 793 of the family's 1533-position model. The record is from RNAcentral.
AUCCAGACUCCUACGGGAGGCAGCAGUGAGGAAUAUUGGUCAAUGGUCGGGAGACUGAACCAGCCAAGCCGCGUGAGGGAGGAAGGUACAGAGUAUCGUAAACCUCUUUUGUCAGGGAACAAAGACUGGGACGCGUCCCCGGACGAGUGUACCUGAAGAAAAAGCAUCGGCUAACUCCGUGCCAGCAGCCGCGGUAAUACGGAGGAUCCGAGCGUUAUCCGGAUUUAUUGGGUUUAAAGGGAGCGUAGGUGGAUUGUUAAGUCAGUUGUGAAAGUUUGCGGCUCAACCGUAAAAUUGCAGUUGAAACUGGCAGUCCUGAGUACAGUAGAGGUGGGCGGAAUUCGUGGUGUAGCGGUGAAAUGCUUAGAUAUCACGAAGAACUCCGAUUGCGAAGGCAGCUUACUGGACUGCAACUGACACUGAGGCUCGAAAGUGUGGGUAUCAAACAGGAUUAGAUACCCGAGUAC